This 494-nucleotide ribosomal RNA is filed under the name uncultured bacterium. RNAcentral's name for it is "partial 16S ribosomal RNA". It matches the Rfam family "Bacterial small subunit ribosomal RNA", at positions 28 to 523 of the family's 1533-position model. The record is from RNAcentral.
GAUGAACGCUGGCGGCAUGCUUUACACAUGCAAGUCGAACGGUAGGGUAGCAAUACCUGAGAGUGGCGAACGGGUGAGUAAUGCAUCGGAACAUGCCUAUUAGUGGGGGAUAGCCCGGCGAAAGCCGGAUUAAUACCGCAUACGAUCUAUGGAUGAAAGCUGGGGACCGCAAGGCCUGGCGCUAAUAGAGUGGCCGAUGUCAGAUUAGCUAGUUGGUGGGGUAAAGGCUCACCAAGGCGACGAUCUGUAGCUGGGUUGAGAGAACGACCAGCCACAAUGGGACUGAGACACGGCCCAGACUCCUACGGGAGGCAGCAGUGGGGAAUUUUGGACAAUGGGCGAAAGCCUGAUCCAGCAAUGCCUCGUGCAGGAUGAAGGCCUUCGGGUUGUAAACUGCUUUUGUACGGAGCGAAAAGGCUUCCAUUAAUACUGGGGGCUCAUGACGGUACCGUAAGAAUAAGCACCGGCUAACUACGCGCCAGCCGCCGCCGUAA